RNAcentral lists this ribosomal RNA (549 nucleotides) under Salmonella enterica subsp. enterica serovar Agona. RNAcentral's name for it is "partial 23S ribosomal RNA". It matches the Rfam family "Bacterial large subunit ribosomal RNA", at positions 756 to 1289 of the family's 2925-position model. Lineage: Bacteria; Pseudomonadati; Pseudomonadota; Gammaproteobacteria; Enterobacterales; Enterobacteriaceae. The record is from RNAcentral.
GUAACACUAACUGGAGGACCGAACCGACUAAUGUUGAAAAAUUAGCGGAUGACCUGUGGCUGGGGGUGAAAGGCCAAUCAAACCGGGAGAUAGCUGGUUCUCCCCGAAAGCUAUUUAGGUAGCGCCUCGUGAAUUCAUCUCCGGGGGUAGAGCACUGUUUCGGCUAGGGGGCCAUCCCGGCUUACCAACCCGAUGCAAACUGCGAAUACCGGAGAAUGUUAUCACGGGAGACACACGGCGGGUGCUAACGUCCGUCGUGAAGAGGGAAACAACCCAGACCGCCAGCUAAGGUCCCAAAGUCAUGGUUAAGUGGGAAACGAUGUGGGAAGGCCCAGACAGCCAGGAUGUUGGCUUAGAAGCAGCCAUCAUUUAAAGAAAGCGUAAUAGCUCACUGGUCGAGUCGGCCUGCGCGGAAGAUGUAACGGGGCUAAACCAUGCACCGAAGCUGCGGCAGCGAACGUAUCACUUAAAGCGAUUCAGCGGGUUACGAUUGACGGAGCGAAGCGACGUCAAAGCGUAUACAAAGUCGAGUCGGUUUAAGGAUACGUU